Molecule: ribosomal RNA, 464 nt
Filed under: uncultured bacterium
Lineage: Bacteria
Description: partial 16S ribosomal RNA
Rfam family: Bacterial small subunit ribosomal RNA
Source: RNAcentral
CUACGGGAGCAGCAGUGAGGAAUUUUGCGCAAUGGGGGAAACCCUGACGCAGCAACGCCGCGUGAGUGAUGAAGGCCUUCAGGUCGUAAAGCUCUGUCAAGUGGGAAGAACCCACCCUGUGCUAAUAUCACAGGGUGCUGACGGUACCACUGAAGGAAGCACCGGCUAACUCCGUGCCAGCAGCCGCGGUAAUACGGAGGGUGCAAGCGUUAUUCGGAAUUACUGGGCGUAAAGGGCGCGUAGGCGGCCGUUUAAGUCAGAUGUGAAAUCCCGGGGCUCAACCCCGGAAGUGCAUCUGAAACUAAGAGGCUUGAGUAUGGGAGAGGGAAGUGGAAUUCCUGGUGUAGAGGUGAAAUUCGUAGAUAUCAGGAGGAACACCGGUGGCGAAGGCGGCCCCCUGGACGAAGACUGACGCUCAGGUGCGAAAGCGUGGGGAGCAAACAGGAUUAGAUACCCCUGUAGUC